Pelobates cultripes (western spadefoot toad) is the source of this 240-nucleotide non-coding RNA. Lineage: Eukaryota; Metazoa; Chordata; Amphibia; Anura; Pelobatidae. The record is from the annotation of a GenBank genome assembly.
AGAAAGUUUAAACAUUAGAUCUUUACAGGAGUAUGUUGAGAGAUUGUGUAGAUCACAUGCAUGGGAGGUAUGGCUGCAUAAACAAAGUGAUUUAACUCUUAAAUGGCAGAGAAUUGAGCAAAACUACUCAAUUAAGCUAACGUUGUUUUGGUGCUUAUAAUGUCCCUUAAAUGAUUACACUUUUAAGGGGACAAAAUUGGACAACAAUUUGCUUUGGAACUAUUCCUUAAUCUAAAUAAG